AUACAUGCAAGUCGAGCGAUGAUUAAAGAUAGCUUGCUAUUUUUAUGAAGAGCGGGAACGGGUGAGUAACGCGUGGGAAAUCUGCCGAGUAGCGGGGGACAACGUUUGGAAACGAACGCUAAUACCGCAUAACAAUGAGAAUCGCAUGAUUCUUAUUUAAAAGAAGCAAUUGCUUCUUUUAACAGAUGAUCCCGCGUUGUAUUAGCUAGUUGGUACUGUAAAGGACUACCAAGGCGAUGAUACAUAGCCGACCUGAAAGGUUGAUCGGCCACACUGGCACUGAGAUACGCCCAAGCCCUCCCACGGGAGCGAUCAUUACGUAA
RNAcentral lists this ribosomal RNA (323 nucleotides) under Lactococcus garvieae. RNAcentral describes it as "bacterial SSU rRNA". It matches the Rfam family "Bacterial small subunit ribosomal RNA", at positions 51 to 361 of the family's 1533-position model. The record is from RNAcentral. Lineage: Bacteria; Bacillati; Bacillota; Bacilli; Lactobacillales; Streptococcaceae.